RNAcentral lists this ribosomal RNA (537 nucleotides) under uncultured bacterium. Its description in RNAcentral is "bacterial SSU rRNA". It matches the Rfam family "Bacterial small subunit ribosomal RNA", at positions 777 to 1317 of the family's 1533-position model. The record is from RNAcentral.
AAUAGAUACCCUGGUAGUCCACGCCGUAAACGAUGGAUACUAGCUGUUGGGGCGCAAGCUUCAGUGGCUAAGCGAAAGUGAUAAGUAUCCCACCUGGGGAGUACGAACGCAAGUUUGAAACUCAAAGGAAUUGACGGGGGCCCGCACAAGCGGUGGAGCAUGUGGUUUAAUUCGAUGAUACGCGAGGAACCUUACCAAGGCUUAAAUGGGAAACGACAGAUCUGGAAACAGGUCCUCCUUCGGGCGUUUUUCAAGGUGCUGCAUGGUUGUCGUCAGCUCGUGCCGUGAGGUGUCAGGUUAAGUCCUAUAACGAGCGCAACCCCUGUUGUUAGUUGCCAGCGAGUCAAGUCGGGAACUCUAACAAGACUGCCGGUGCAAACCGUGAGGAAGGUGGGGAUGACGUCAAAUCAUCACGGCCCUUACGGCCUUGGGCUACACACGUGCUACAAUGGCCGGUACAGAGAGCAGCCACUGGGCGACCAGGGAGCGAAUCUACAAAACCGGGUCACAGUUCGGAUCGGAGUCUGCAACCCGACU